Vespa crabro (European hornet) is the source of this 861-nucleotide long non-coding RNA. RefSeq lists it as uncharacterized. The record is from RefSeq and is a predicted model, not a curated record. The transcript has 2 exons. NCBI's taxonomy places the organism in Eukaryota, Metazoa, Arthropoda, Insecta, Hymenoptera, Vespidae.
CAUUUGUACAUGUUAUUAAUCAUUUUAUUUAAGAUUUAUUAAAUAUUGCGUUAAUCAAGAUUAAUGUUAGUUAGAUCAAAAUCGAAUCUAAAAUCUUACAUUUAAGUACAAUCAAUCGACACGAUCGAUAGCAUCGAAGGAGUCGUUAAUUAACAAUAAGACAACUGGCGCCUAACCGUUGUUCCGGGUCCUUCAAAAGAAAUUUGAUUGGAAGUCAUGAGGGUUGAGAGAUUUCCUGUUCCGUGAUUCACGACUUUGACACGUGACGGAUGUUUCCUGGCGCCCACGAUAUAUUCAAGAUAUCCAGGAGCCCAUUCAAUACUGUCGAGACACGUGUCUUAAUUAUGACCGUCUGGACAUUCGUAUUCAGUCGAGCCUGUAUCGGUUCGUUCAUUAAUAAAUUGUUUAUUGCAGCAUAGUGUGUGCAUCACCCCGGUCCCCUUCAACUUAAGUUCCCAAACAUUGAUGAUCCUAUGUAUCCUUGGUAUCUACCGAAUCGAUGCCUCAGGAAACACUGUCCCGACAGUGUCCAUUUUACAAACAUAUCUUGGUAUACCUGAUUUGACUUAAAAAUUCAUUCGAGUUAAAACCCAAAAAUGCAAAUUAUCGAUGCCUUAGGAAAAUAUUAUCCUUUAAAUGCGUAAAUCAUUUCUACUGUAUAACAUAAUGUUAAAAUUAUUUUUCUUCGGCUUUUAUUUAAAAAACGAAGAUAAAGAUUUACGAGUAUGAUUCACGAGUUUCGCAGAAAAAUAAUAUCGUCAUUACGACGAUAUUCUCAUUAUCAUAUUGGAAAAUUGAACUGCAUAUGAAAAUUUUUUAGAACAUGAAUGUAAAAAAAAUAAAUCUUAUUUUUAUCUUGAA